UUUCCGCAUCCUCUAAAAACUUCCAUUUUUCCUCGUCAUCCCCCCUUCCCACACGCAUACUCACAAUUCCCGUGUUCAAUUGCUAUUUGCUAACCUAAUCGACACUGCCUCCUCUCUGUCUCUCUUCCUCAAUCCUUCUUUCUUUGCACAUCUCAAUACACUUCCUAAAAGGGUAAGAGGUGGUAUGUUCUCUGACAACUCAUCCUCUCACUUAUCGCACAAAUAUGAUGCUGAUAGGUAUGCUUCCAGCAACUGUUUUUAAUGUGCAGAAUAUAUCGAAGCAUAUGACAUGAAUAUCAAUUUCGGAAUUCAGUACUAUACAUUGAUAUGCAUUAAAUUUCAAAGCUUCCGUCAGAUGAUAUUUUGAUAUCCCCAUGAACAUCAAUCACUUUCUCUGAAAGGCUUCAAUAACAUUGAAUUGGAAAUUAAUCUGUAACAAUUCUGAUUACCUAAUGAAACAAAUUAUUGCUUACUUCAUCAAAGAUGCAGUUACAUUGUAGAUGGGGUGUGAAUCUAAUGUUCAAAUUUGGCAACUGAAGAUUCUUUGAAAUGAGGCAGAUGGCCUAAUAUGGAAUUCUUUUCACGUAGUUUAGCCUCCUUGUACUUUUAAUUAAAAUCAUUGGACAUUGUUUAAAUAGUGUGAAGCAUCUUCUGGGAAAUGAGUUUGAUUCUGUCUCUUAGUUUGGUUCAAAGUCCUUUGAACACCUUUUCUUUUCUUUUCUUUUCUUUUUUUUUUUUUUUUUUUUUUUUUUUUUUUUUUUUUUGUGUGUUUGUAAUAAAUGGAGUUUGUUGGUUUUGGCUUCUGAACGAAAGGUUGAGGAUUAAAUCAUGGCCAUUAAGGUACUCUCUAAACUAAUUUGGAUGCUUUAAUGAUUUCUAUAGUUAAACCAUUAAUUAGUUGUUCCUUAUAUGAAUAUGUGAUAGUAAGUGUAUAUAAGUAACUUUGAUGUUGAAUCUGUAAUAAUAGUUCAUUUUUGCUAGUUGCUUUUAUAUUGAGCUCAACAGACGUAGUCCGUAAAUUUCAUAUUACAUGCAUACCUAUAAAGCAGUGGAUUAAAUUUUUACAAGUCUAUUGCACAUAGUAAUUAAUAAUUCAGUAGUUAACGACGCUUUUAUCAAAUUACUCAAGCACGGUGGUCAAUUAUAUGCACUACUACAUAUGCUCAAGUUGAGAAAGGGAUAUCAUCGUUUAUUAAUGUUGGCAUCGAAAGAGACUUGUACGUUAACUCCUGAAUAAGAAAUUUAUAUUUAAUUUCUACGUUAACUUUUAAAUACAAUAUUAGUACUUUCCUUUCCUAUUGUCUUGCAUGCAGAUCAUGAGGAACAUAAUUGAGGGAGACAAGAAUGAGAGUCAAGGAUUACAUCUCACUACUGCACAAGAUUGCAACUCAAUUCUAUUGUUGCCUAUGAUUUUAUUUUGGACUGCACUAUUCUUCUCAUUUUUUGGAACUUCACUAGGUUUUUUUAUUGUCUAUGAUAUUGUUUUGGACUAUGUCUAUGUACAUGUUACUCAUUCUGGAAUUAGAACUGACUUGUAAAUGUAUUUUGCCUUGCAUCAACUUUCUUAAAGGCUUUUGAAUUGUGACUAUUGCGUUGUGAUUUCAAAUACAUCCUGGUUUUAAUUUUUGUU
Olea europaea var. sylvestris is the source of this 1630-nucleotide long non-coding RNA. RefSeq lists it as uncharacterized. The record is from RefSeq and is a predicted model, not a curated record. The transcript has 2 exons. NCBI's taxonomy places the organism in Eukaryota, Viridiplantae, Streptophyta, Magnoliopsida, Lamiales, Oleaceae.